This 54-nucleotide ribosomal RNA is filed under the name Aspergillus versicolor. RNAcentral describes it as "partial 18S ribosomal RNA". Lineage: Eukaryota; Fungi; Ascomycota; Eurotiomycetes; Eurotiales; Aspergillaceae. The record is from RNAcentral.
ACCCGUGAAUACCUAACACUGUUGCUUCGGCGGGGAACCCCCUCGGGGGCGAGC